RNAcentral lists this ribosomal RNA (497 nucleotides) under uncultured bacterium. RNAcentral's name for it is "partial 16S ribosomal RNA". It matches the Rfam family "Bacterial small subunit ribosomal RNA", at positions 28 to 507 of the family's 1533-position model. The record is from RNAcentral.
GAUGAACGCUGGCGGCGUGCCUAAUACAUGCAAGUCGAGCGAACAGACGAGGAGCUUGCUCCUCUGACGUUAGCGGCGGAUGGGUGAGUAACACGUGGAGAACCUACCUAUAAGACUGGGAUAACUUCGGGAAACCGGAGCUAAUACCGGAUAAUAUAUUGAACCGCAUGGUUCAAUAGUGAAAGACGGUUUUGCUGUCACUUAUAGAUGGAUCCGCGCCGCAUUAGCUAGUUGGUAAGGUAACGGCUUACCAAGGCAACGAUGCGUAGCCGACCUGAGAGGGUGAUCCGACACACUGGAACAUAGACACGGUCCAGACUCCUACGGGAGGCAUGAGUAGGGACACUUCCGCCAUGGGCGAAAGCCUGACGGAGCAACGCCGCGUGAGUGCUGAAGGUCUUCGGAUCCUAAAACUCUGUUAUUAGGGCAGUACAAAUGUGUAAGUAACUAUGCCCGUCUCGACGUCCCCUAAUCAGAAGGCCACGGCUCGGUACGUG